This 224-nucleotide unclassified non-coding RNA is filed under the name Hevea brasiliensis (rubber tree). The record is from RNAcentral. Lineage: Eukaryota; Viridiplantae; Streptophyta; Magnoliopsida; Malpighiales; Euphorbiaceae.
CACCAGCACCAGCACCAGCACCAGCACCAUCACCAGCUACUCCUCCAGCCCCAGUACCAGCUCCUCCACCACUGGCCCCAACACCAGAAUUAGUGCCUUCACCUGCACCACCUCCUCCACACAAGCACAAGAAGAAAAGAAGGCACAGGCACAAGAAGCAUCAUCAUCCACCUGCAUCAGCACCAUCACCAACUCCCCCCAGCCCACCAGCCCCACCUGCACCA